Molecule: ribosomal RNA, 253 nt
Filed under: uncultured bacterium
Lineage: Bacteria
Description: partial 16S ribosomal RNA
Rfam family: Bacterial small subunit ribosomal RNA
Source: RNAcentral
UACGUAGGGUGCGAGCGUUGUCCGGAUUUAUUGGGCGUAAAGGGCUCGUAGGCGGUUUGUCGCGUCGGGAGUGAAAACUCAGGGCUUAACCCUGAGCCUGCUUCCGAUACGGGCAGACUAGAGGUAUGCAGGGGAGAAUGGAAUUCCUGGUGUAGCGGUGAAAUGCGCAGAUAUCAGGAGGAACACCGGUGGCGAAGGCGGUUCUCUGGGCAUUACCUGACGCUGAGGAGCGAAAGUGUGGGGAGCGAACAGG